RNAcentral lists this ribosomal RNA (474 nucleotides) under uncultured organism. Its description in RNAcentral is "partial 16S ribosomal RNA". It matches the Rfam family "Bacterial small subunit ribosomal RNA", at positions 333 to 798 of the family's 1533-position model. The record is from RNAcentral.
ACACUCCUACGGGAGGCAGCAGUGGGGAAUUUUGGACAAUGGGCGAAAGCCUGAUCCAGCAAUGCCGCGUGAGUGAAGAAGGCCUUCGGGUUGUAAAGCUCUUUUGUCAGGGAAGAAACGGUGAGAGCUAAUAUCUUUUGCUAAUGACGGUACCUGAAGAAUAAGCACCGGCUAACUACGUGCCAGCAGCCGCGGUAAUACGUAGGGUGCAAGCGUUAAUCGGAAUUACUGGGCGUAAAGCGUGCGCAGGCGGUUUUGUAAGUCGGAUGUGAAAUCCCCGGGCUCAACCUGGGAAUUGCAUUGGAGACUGCAAGGCUAGAAUCUGGCAGAGGGGGGUAGAAUUCCACGUGUAGCAGUGAAAUGCGUAGAUAUGUGGAGGAACACCGAUGGCGAAGGCAGCCCCCUGGGUCAAGAUUGACGCUCAUGCACGAAAGCGUGGGGAGCAAACAGGAUUAGAUACCCUUGUAGUCCCAU